ACAAGGUUGAUUAAUUCUUUAAUUAAAUCUGCGACGACCAACAAUUUCACAUCGCAUUGAAUCAUUCGUCGAAAAUACAACAUUCAUUCUGUCCACAUCGUACUACUUCAUUUCCACCAUCUCUAUAAAUGCUGCUUCACAUUAACAAUUACUUCUAAAUCAACAAAAAUGGAAGAUUCAGUGAGAAGGGGUUUCAUGGCAGCUAUUGCAGUUUCCGGAGGCGUAGUCUUCCUAGCAGUGCAUGCUCACAAUCGACUUCUUUCUGAUUUCAUCAACAAAAUCGAAUUUCAGACCAAAACCUCCACUGGGAGGUCGAAGGAUGGGGUGAGAAAGAAGGUGAGGUUCGCGGAGUCAAAAGACGAAAAGUAUUAUGUGAAGAAGGAGCGGCGGGAGGCAACUUGCCGGAAUAAUGGUGAAAUUUUAGAGGGUAUGCCUCAAAACCGGCAAGUUUUGUACAAAGGAAUUAUGCAAAAUAGGAAUCGUAUGUUUUGAUGAUGAAAAGUGGCUAAUCGCUUGUCAAUUACUACUCUGAUCAACGUUUAAUUUCUAUUCUAAUUUCUACGUAUGUAAGUAUGUUGUUCGUGUUGUGCACGUAUAUAUACAUAUGUGAUGAUACAAACCACAAAUUGUCUGCAAUUGAUGAUUUGGAUUGGAAGUUCUA
This is a long non-coding RNA of Salvia splendens (bonfire salvia), 661 nucleotides long. RefSeq lists it as uncharacterized. The record is from RefSeq and is a predicted model, not a curated record. Lineage: Eukaryota; Viridiplantae; Streptophyta; Magnoliopsida; Lamiales; Lamiaceae. The transcript has 2 exons.